GGGUAAAUGAUAAGUAUUGUGUAGGCGUGGUGCCUAUACCAUAUUUAUCUGCGAUUGUACCCUAUAUGCCGGAUCCUGGGGUAGUUCGUGGUGGUGAUAGCUCCAUUGAUUCUUAUAUACUCCUCCUCCCAUGUAUAGGGCAGGCAGAACAACAUUAUUACAGGGGAGUGAUUGCUAUGUUUCUCAUCUUCCUGGAUAAUAUCACUAUGCAUGGGCGUAGUCCUGUCUUGCAAUGAUUGCCAAGUAUAGUUGCACUAACUAUGAUAUGAUAGACUUUAUAGUUAAGAAUAACUUAGGAAAUAUUAUUGUAGUUUAUCCUAAUUCCAUGCUAAUGACUUGCUAGAAUAUCUGUUGAGGUGCUUAUCAUUAUUAUAUGUGGCUAGUUAUGCUGAUCAGAUUAAUUAUCUUUGUCACCAUUCAUACUUUAUCUAUAUUUUAUGUGACAUUUAUCCCUGUAUGAAAGAGAUAGAUAAAUGCUCUCUAUUACAAAUGCAAUGAUAGAUACUCAAUUCCAUAUUCCAUUCCAUAAUCAACAUUGAUAAUUAGCAAUCCCUUCCCAGUGGUAAAAAUACAAAUAACGAUACCUGGAAUACUUUCCGGUUAAAAUGCUACAUCGGUAUUAAUCUGUGCGCUUACAGAUCUCAUUUAUUAUUCAUUCAGAAGAGCAAUUGCAUAUUUCAAUACCGCAUCUCUCAUGUCAUGCUAUGGAUGACAACUUGGCUUAAGUGGCAUGAGGGAUAGGUUUGGCAUUUUUGGCGCCAUUAUCAGAACUAGAAAACUAAGUCUACUUUUGGUAGUGACGUUAAGAAUGCCCAACAUGUACCAUUGGUGUUCUAGGGUCCAGUCGAUGUGAUGGACCAUGUUAUUUUGGUUGUAAGUACUGAUGGUUUCCUGGUUUGUGUGAAUGUAAUGUGAACAUGUUAUGGUUUGUGUGGCAAUGUGACAAGUGAUGGUUUCCUGGUUUCUGUGAAUGUAAUCUGAACAUGUUAUGGUCUGAACACACAAGCAUUCAUUUUGUACACACAAUUUCCUUGCAGCAGGUAUAUUACACAUAAAAGCAUCAUCCCACCAGCUACAUUACACAUAAAAGCAUCAUCCCAGCAGGUAUAUUACACACAAAAGCAUCAUCCCAGCAGUGUGAUUGUAUCACAAACAGAAACAUCAUUCGAGCAGGUAUUAUACACAGAACAACAUUCUAAUGCCCAAAAGAGUGUUUUUUGUGUUCAGCUAAGUUGCCACCACAUCCUAGCUAAGCGCCACGGUGUCAAAACCGGUGACACGCUAGACGCCACCGUGUUAAAACCGCCCUCCCAAACCACCCUAGGGGUUAGUUGUCUGGUUUUCCAAAUUUUAGAGCGUAGGAUACCCGUUUUUAUAGUUGGGGACCUAGGUUAGACAGGUCAAUACUUUAGGGGGUAAGUAGACUUUUUCCCUUUCUCUUUUGUAUCCAUUGUUUUUUAUGCUCUUGGACUUUUUCGCUCAAUUGGAUUUCUCAUUUUGGUGUUCUUGUGCUGCAAUUUAUUACUCCAUGUUUUAGCUUUUAUAGAUAUAUAAGCUGUGUGUGUAUAUAUAUAUAUAUAUAUAUAUAUAUAUAUAUAUAUAUAUAUAUAUAUAUAUAUAUAUAUAUAUAUAUAUAUAUAUAUUAUAUAGGACGCAUUUUCCGUACUCCCGGGAGUAAUUACUCCCAUCUUCAAUAAACCACAUUACGUAUGUAUUGAUACUUGUUUAUCGGUUUGAGUAUGUUCAUAUACUUAUAUUAAGAUACUCUAGAUCUUACCAUGUGAAAAAUUUUUAAAGGAAUUCAUAUUUUUUAAUAUAUUACUAAUGUCACAGAACCGACCAAAUUAUAAGAGAUCAAGUGUAGAAACGAUCGACAAGCAAUCAAGUUUCCAAACUUGAGCCCAUAUAAUCCCGGUAGUCAAUCGAAAUCACGAAGGACUUCAAACCAACUCGCAACAAACCAAGAUCGUAAUAGUUCAACAUAAACACAGCGAAUGUUACAUAGUCAUUCAUUGCCGUCGAAGCGGCACCACAUCGGAGUAUUAAGUUAUUACAACACUUGUUUGAAGUAGCGGAAGCAAAAUAGUUACACACACUUUCCAAAUUCAGUUCUUAAGUUCGAGUUACUGCCAGAGUCUACAUCAUCCUUCCAAAAGCAUCAGAUACGAGGUUGUUAGAGAACCGUGCCCAACGGUUAGUCCUCAUCCCCAGCGGGAUGGAGACAGGUAUUGCAGAAGCUGUCAUAAAAGAUGUCAUCUGCAACAGGUGGGAAUAAACCCUGAGUACGAGAAUGUACUCAGCUAGACUUACCCGUCUAGUAAAACAUAAAAGACACCAAGGAUCAUGCAAGGCUAGGAUAACAGUAGAGCUGGUUGACUUAACAUUUUGCCAAAAGCUUUUAUUAUGACUAAUUCAUUGUAAGAGCAUCAUAUUUAUUUAUCAUCAGCCUACCACUAGAUUAGCACCUGUACUACAACACAUCACUUGAUUAUUACAAACAAUAAUAACCAUAUCCAAUUCAUCAUAUGUUCUCCUUUGCUAUCAUCAUUAUCAUGAACCAAUUUCAUUAGUGAAUGCUACGUUUGCCGCUGCUCUGUCAAGUUCUCACUAACCGGGAGAAACGGCGAUUCGAAUCGAAUUUCUAUCUAGCUAGAGGGUUAUUCCUAGCACUCACCCAAGCAUCCCCCGUCGGAGAGCUAACGGGUCACCUUUGGUACAACUCAGGAAUCGCGGCUCCGAUCAGCGCCGCACUCCCAGGGCUACCACUCUGCCAGGGAGGUCAGGAAUUUAAACUCAUCUGCCUUUGGACUUACGCCAAUGGUCCCCCACACACCGCACUUCCUCCGGUAGUGCGCACUUUAUACUUGCCGGUCUUCCGGCCUGAGUCAUACUACUCGGCUUCGCGGUCGGAACGAGUUAUCCGGCCAACUAAGUGUUAGGCAUGCGUUCAACAUGACAAGAGGACGUACAACGAUCGGUCCUUAGCUGCCACAGACGGAGUUACUACAACCUUGCAAAACUCCGCCCGGCUUAAGUCAAUUUAAUCUUCCAUCCACGAUAGCUCAUAUAGACCAUCGUGAUCCGACACAACCCUAUACCGCGCAGGUGGCAGGAAAUCACCCGACUUCUACCGGUUAAGCAAGGCUAAGCUGCUACUCGGCCCUAACUCUAUAACCAAAGUAGGGUGAAUUAUCUGGACAAGGAUGGAAUAAAGUGCAGCAAGGUUUUCAUUACAACUCCUAAACUUAAUGCAGCAAUAGAUAUAACAUAUUAAAUAAACUUUCGAAAGUAAAGGGAGACUUAGAAUGCUCCGGGGUUUGCCUUUCACGAACGAAGCUGGCUCGUGAUUUGGGCACUCAACUUCUUCUUCUUCGGGCUCCCUGAGUCCGACUUGCUGGACCUCCACCUCUUGGCUGCCCUCCUGUCCUUCGGGAUUCCCUUGCAGAUCGAAGGAGACUGCCGCGUCCGAUGCACCUAUUGCAUGCUCGGUGAAUAAGAAAGUGUGCAUACACAAGGAUGAAUGCUUGACAACAUAAGUGACUCACUGGACACUCAUUUACGGAGUACACAGUUAUAACAAGUUCACACAAGCUAACAAGUUAACUUAGCCCAAAAUGUAUCAUGAUAGCCUAUAACAGCAAGCAUCAAAUAGCAGGAUGAGCUUAGUAAACAGAUCAUAACUAUUUCCACAAAGAUUCAACAAACAUGGGUGAGGACAUUAUGGAAAGCUUAUGAAAUUGUCUACAAAUCAUCUUUAAACAUCACAGCAAGAUUCAUACAUUAAACCAGUCAUUUAAACAAAGUUCCAGGUUCUGUCCCAGAAAAACAGAGAGCACCUGUUUCUGGAACCCAACUUGGAACAGCCAUAACUUUUAAACUACUUGACAAAAUGAUCUCAAAUUUAAACCACAGAUAGUUCAAAAAGUGUACAACAACUUUGAUUUAGCCAAGUUGCUCAUAAAAUCAAAUUAUCAUUAAGCAAAAGUUAAAUUACUCCCUUGCUGUCCAGAACAGCCUUUACCCCUUUAAUUAAUUAUUGGAGGACAUAACCAACACAUAAACCAUGCCAACCACAUGGCUUAUGAGCACAAGCAUAUCACAAGAUUACCAGAACAUCAGAUGAUAACCCUCAAACAUAUACUUAACAAGGCAUUUAUUAAUUAAUUCUAGAAAGAAGCAUAAUUACAAGAUGCCUAGUCAAAUUGCUCAGAAAAAUCUACAAAAAUUACAGGAACACAAGUAUAGCAUCAAAGCAUCACCAUAAAAAUUUCACAGCAAUUGCACAUACCAAAUUAAAGAUAUGUAUUUAACAUGUGCCCAAGUGUUUAUUUCAUAAAUUCAGAAACAUGACUUAUAUGGUGUCAAACAACAGAUUUCAGAUUAUUUAUAUAUUAGGAAUACCAUAAACAUGUUUACUACCAAAGUAGAGCACCAGCAUAAACACCAAUUAUUUCAUAUAAUUUAAUCAAGGAAACAAGCCAAAUUUCAAUCAUAAAUUACAUAUCAAAGCUGCAGUACUCCAAAAAUCAUGAAAUAUUUACCAAAGCACUUUAAUACCAUACAGAGGCUACCAUAAAAUUUUCAGAGCAAACUAAGCAGUAUAACAAGAGAUAUGAGUUUAUCCAUGAAUAACAAGAUUGAAUCCUUAAUAAAUAUUUUCCCAGAAAACAUGGUUCAUUUUAUAUUUUUAUUAAAAACUAGCCAUCUCAAGAAAUACCACAAAAUUUGUUUCACAAUUUUUGGAUCUCAGAAACAGGAGAUAUGAUUUUUUGCAAGAAAGCCAAAAAUCCAGAUUUGAAUAAAAGAAAAGGAGGGAAGGAGGGUGACACUGACAGUGGACCCUGGCUGUCAGGUUCUUCUCCCUCACGGCCGAGGCGACUCUCGCCGGCGAUUUCUCCGCGACGGCAAGGUCUCCGGCCAAACCAAAGGCACUAACGUGAUCCCCAGACUCUAGCGACUCGAUUGACCCCCUUUUCCCCACGGCGGAGCCACCGGAAGGAGCUCGCCGUCGACGAUGGCGGCUCGGCGGAGGUGCUCGGCGUUACGCCGGAGCCCUCAGGCCGGUAGAGCGUGACCUAAGACCUUCGACAGCACCAGCGAACUACGGCGAAGCUUCCUAGGUACGCGGCUUGGCUUGAAACCUCGUGGAACACGCUGGCCACGAGAGCACCCAUCUCCGGCGGAAACACGGCGGCGCUGCGCAUCGUGUCCGGCGACGGAGAGUUCGGUAGAGCGUCCACCAAGUGGCGCAAACGCAAGCUAGGAACCUAAGCAACCUCUACGACCUAACCAGAGACGACGAGAGGCUUCACAGGGCUCAGCAUUGGGCUCACCGGAAAAGAUGGUCACGGCGACCCGAUUUGGGGGAAGAAGGAAAUGGUGGCUCACCGGUGGGUUUCGCGGCGAGUUAGAGGGUGGGAAGUGAAGAGCGGUUCACGACGGAGCUGUGGGUGGAGUUUGGUGGACUGAAACGCAGCGAGGAGCGCGCACGAGCUCGCCGGAGUGAGCUCGCGACGGUGAGCUCGCUGCGGGUGCUCUUCUGGCGAGAGAGGCGAGGCAGAGAGGAAGUGGACGCGUCCACUCUGCACGGGGCGACACCGUGGACUUCAUGCGUGCGUUGAGCUGACAAGCGGGGCCAGGAACGAUGUACGGACGACAAAUGUCGCCGUUGCUCUGCCGCCGGUCGGCCACGUCGGUGAGCUCCAUUCCGAUUCAGACAAAACGAUGGCCGACUGACAGAGCUACUUUGACAACGAUUUACUCCCAAACUAUGGUGAAUUAGAACAUGAGGUAGUUGACAAAGUUGGAGUACAAGCCGAGAUCAACAACUUUGUCAACUGGAGCAAAAGCCAGAUCGGCCUGGAUCGAGAGGUAUGAAGUUUUCAAAAUCGAUCGAGCAAACUGGUUUCGUUCCAGGACUUAGAAAAUUUCCUAAGUGUUGGAAACAACCCCAAUUUUGCCUUGUGGGUCACUUUUGAGCUAUUUGUGGUCAUUUUCGUGAGAUGGCCAUAAAACAACUUUUGUUCCUUAUAAAAUGUGCUACAACUUUGCUGUAGAAAGUUUUGACAUGCAAACAUUUUAUGAAACACUUUUUAAAAGCCUAAACAAAAGAGGUUUUUAGGGCCUAUUUACAUAAGUAUGACUUAAGUGAUUAUUUUGGAGAAGUGGUCCAUAUGAACAUUGUUCCCAAAGUUAAGUUAAGCAUAGAUAAACUAAUUACCAAGGCAUAGAGCACAAACACAAGCAUGGUUCACUCAAACAUAAGCAUAGGAAGCCUAUUUAAGCAAUUUAAAUCACAUUUUGCAUAGAAUGACAUGGCUCAAGAUAGAUGAUGAUCAUGAUAUGCUUUGAGUAGAUGAUGAUGCUCAUGCUAUGCACAUGAUUAAUGUAACCAUAACACUGGGGUGUUACAACCCUCCCCCCUUACAAAAAAUCUCGUCCCGAGAUUUGAAGGCUUACUGAUUUUCGAAGAAGGUUUUGUAAACUUCUUUUAAAUAAUCCUCCGUCUCCCAAGUGGCAUCUUCCUCCCCGUGGUUACUCCACAACACUUUGUAGAACUUAACCACACGAUUACGUGUCUCCCAUUCCUUGCUAUCAAGAAUCGCUACGGGUUUUUCUUCAUACACCAAGUCGGACUUCAACUUGAUAUCUCGAACUUCCACUCGUUCCUCCGGUACACGAAGGCACUUCUUCAAUUGUGAUACGUGGAAGACAGGGAAAAUAGCUCGAAGCGCAACUAGGAGUUGAACUUUGUACGCCACAUUCCCUUUCUUUUCGAGAAUCCGAUAAGGUCCCACAUAACGAGGUGUAAGCUUUCGCUUGACUCCGAACCUUUGUACACCCUUCAUCGGAGACACCUUGAUAUACACAUGGUCACCAACUGAAAACUCAAUCGGCUUCCUUCUUUUGUCAGCAUAACUUUUCUGACGAGCUUGAGCAGCUUCCAGAUGUUGCUGGAUGGUACGGACUUUCUGCUCUGCUUCGUUUACGAAAUCGAUGCCAUAAUACCUUCGCUCUCCGGCUUCUACCCAAUUCAACGGGGUUCGACACUUUCGACCGUACAAGGCUUCAAAUGGAGCCAUUUUGAUACUCUCCUGAUAACUAUUGUUGUAGGAGAACUCAGCCAAUGGCAACCACUUAACCCAAGAACCUUUUGACGAGAGAGCACAUGCCCUCAACAUGUCUUCUAGGAUUUGGUUAACCCGUUCAGUCUGACCAGCUGUUUGGGGAUGAUAAGCAGAGCUACGGACUAAAUGAGUACCAAUCUGCUCAUGCAGACACUCCCAAAAACGAGCAAUGAACUGCGGUCCACGAUCGGAUACAAUAGUUCGAGGCACACCAUACUGACGAACAAUGUGCUCAAAAUACAGUUCUGCAUAUUGAUGUGGACGAUAGUCAGUUCGAACCGGAAUAAAUCGAGCAACCUUGGUCAAACGAUCUACAAUCACCCAGAUGGAGUCAUAACCCUUAACAGAAGUUGGGAGUCCACUGAUGAAAUCCAUGCUGACUUCUUCCCAUUUCCAACCAGGAAUUGACAAGGGUUGAAGCAAACCAGCUUUCAUGUGAACAGCCUUCACACGACAACAAUUGUCGCAACGUGCGACAAAAGCAGCAAUCUCCUUUUUCAUCUUUGUCCACCAAAACAAAGGUUUCAGAUCCUGAUACAUCUUGCUACUACCAGGAUGGAUAGACAAUUUGGAUGAAUGAGCUUCUGACAAGAUCUGAUUUCGUAGCUCGCGGUCUUUUGGGACCACUAGUCGAUCUUUGAACCAAAGAAUUCCGUUCUCAUCGACUCGGAAAUGCUUGGUUUCUUCUUCUUUCAUUUUUCUCUUUAUGUGAUAGAUGCCUACAUCUGUCUGCUGCAAUUCGAUAACUCGAUUGCGAAGAGUACUCUCCAGAGAAAUCUGGUUGAGCACAAGUGGAUGCAUAAGAUGUGAUAACAACGGAUCUUCCACUUGGAUUGAGUGACAGUGCGCUUUCCGACUCAAGACAUCCGCUACCACGUUCGCCUUGCCCGGAUGAUAGUGCACUUGUAGAUUAUAAUCUUUAAUCAACUCAAGCCACCUUCGCUGCCGCAUGUUCAAUUCAGGUUGAGUGAAGAUAUACUUGAGGCUCUUAUGAUCGGUGUAGAUAUUACACAGAUUACCCAACAGAUAGUGCCUCCAGAUUUUCAAGGCAUGAACAACUACUGCCAAUUCUAAAUCAUGAGUAGGGUAAUUGACCUCAUGCUUUCGAAGUUGGCGCGAGGCAUACGCGAUAACGCGACCUUCCUGCAUCAACACACAGCCUAAACCAAUGCCUGACGCGUCACAAAAGACAUCGAAGGGCUUUUCGAUAUCUGGUUGAGCUAGGACAGGAGCUGAUGUCAGCAAUGUCCUCAACUUGUGGAAUGCCUCUUCACACUCAGGCGUCCACAGAAACUUCUCAUCUUUCUCAAGUAGCCGAGUCAUAGGCUUGGAUAUUUUUGAGAAUUUGGGAAUGAAUCGACGAUAAUAUCCAGCCAGACCUAGAAAACUUCGAACCUCGUGGACCGAAGUUGGAACUUUCCAAUCCAGCACUUCUUGCACCUUAGCCGGAUCCACCGAUAUGCCUUCUGUUGACACUAGCUAACACCACUUAGAUACUAGGUUGUCAUCCCUAGCAUGGCGCCAGAGUGUACAAAGGUAUUUAUAAAUGUAAAGGCUCUCUAGAAAAUAAUUUAUUCUAUCCGCAAGCGCACAGAUAAAACACCUCAUUGUAGCAUUUCACCAGGAUAAGUAUUCCAGGUAUCGUUAUUUAUAAUUUUGCUCAAGGGAUCUAAGGAAAUGAAAUUAAAAUAAAAGGGGGAAAAAUCUAUCAAGGCAUAGACUAGAGAUAAACUUGCAAGAACAUGAUUACUAAUGAGAAACUCGUCACACAGUCACAUACUUUAGCAGGGGGUAAACCAUAAAGAUAAUGAUAAUAAAGUAUAAGUUCAUGGGUAGAUAACACAGCGAUUAGAAAAUAGACUACUCCUCAUAUAUGUAGGUGAUGUCGGAUUAGCUAGAGAAUGGAUUCUAAGUUAUCUACUAACUACUAAGUCAUAAUCUACUCUAGUUAUCUACAAGAUCAUAUAUAGCAUAAAAGACUCUUCAUUCAUGUAUAAGGAACAUUGAUAAAGUAAAUCAGAGCAUCGCAUGACUUACUCCACAAUACCGGUUCUGCCUGUCCUAUCAACGGACGGUGGACUAUAUAAGAAUCAACGAAGCUGUCACUAUCGCGAACUACCACACGACCCGGCCAUUAGGAUACAUUUGCAGAUAAAUAACAUCUAAGCACCACUCUUACAUGUGAUCUAUCACCUAACUCCCUCGCGUCAAGAGCUAAGCGCUUUGCAAACUUAUACAUAAACUCAUUAUCAAUUAGAACUAUAUCAAAUAUAGAACUAGAGCAAACUAAGAACAUAAUAAUUAGAGACAUAAUGCAAUUAGAACAAUAGAAUUAGAGAAAGAUAUGAAUAAUACCAAUCUUUAUUACCGAAGAUCCGAAUCCAGAGCGUAGUGCUCUACUUCUCUAAUUGCUAUCUAAUCAACCUCUAAACUUGAAGGAUUAGGGAGUAGCUAAUUCUAAUUCUCUGUGGGAGAGAGAUCUAAACCCUAACUUUGAUGGCUACCUCUGAAUAAUGAUUUCUCCUCUCUUCCUCCAGGGGCCAGGGGGUCUGGUUUUAUAGUCCCCUCAAGUGAACGUGAGCCAUUGGAUCAAACUGACAUAGAUUGUAUGGUUUAGAUUGAUCCUUUAGGUUGGUGGAGUCUUGCCCCGAAGGAGAGUCCUGGUUGGCUUCCUGGCCAGGGCGGGCGCCCAAGGGGGGUGGGCGGGCGCCCAGCCCCCGAGCCCGUAUCGUCUCCCGUUCGUUCCCGUGGCUUCUGGAUCCUUCUAGAUUGAGGAAAAUUGCGCGGCACGUAAUUAUCUCAUUGUAAACAUGACAUGUGGGCCUUCUCUCCAUAUUUUCUGAUAAACCCCUGCAGAAAUAGAUAAACACCAAAACUCGUGGAAUUCUGUCAGAUAAAACCCUAAUUCUAGAUGUUUGUUUCAUAUCGAUCCUUUUUCAUGUUUAUUUGAUUAUUAAUUUUAGUACUUAAGGACCGUCAACAAACUCCCCCAAGCUUACCCUUUGCUCGUCCCUGAGCAAACAGCUAAACUCAGACGGAUCAGGAGUUGCUUCGAUGUUUUCUUUCCUGACAGGCACACAUGCUUUUACAUAAAAAUUCUUCCAGAUUAAAGUGAAGUGUUAUGAAGUUUAGUACCUGCACUUAAGUCUUAAGUAAUCGAAAGACAAAAUAGUUAAGUCAAGCACUAUCCCUCUUGUCUAUACUUCACCUUUGUUCUAGAGUUUUUCAUAAGUUUUCAAAAUAAAACUCAGAGUUCCCAGCAAUGAUUCUCUCAAGUCUCUCUAUAUGUAGUAUUUGUGGAUCCUUACCAUAAUGUCACUUACCUAUAGCUAAUGGAAUGUUUAAGUGGAGCUCAUAGGAGUGGAAAACAGCUCAUACAUAUGUUGUCUAAUCGAGCCAUGGAUCCAAAGGAACUCAGCAUAUAAUUAAAUCAAGAUGUACAUGUGUGAUGGAGUAAAUGAUAGUGAUGGUGAAAAUGCAUAAGUGAUAAUAAAAUUUGGUUCUCAUUGCUCCUCAUAUUGCUAUCUCUCCUUUUCUUUGAUCUUUGCUUUGGGAGAACAUGGGCUAUCUCUUUUUCUUUCUUUCUUUUUUUUUCAGGUGGGUAGUAGAUACCCCUAAUUCUACUGUCGGACACUUGUCCAUUUUUUUCGCUCAAGUGGGCAUUUUUGUACCCCUAAUUCUACUUCGGACACUUGUCCAUUUUUACCUCUCGUCUCACUCUUUUUCUUUCUUUUCCGAGGUUCCGGGCACUUGCCCCUUUUUAUUUCCUCGCAUAUUUUUGCAUAACCCAUGCCUCUUCUGUAUUGAAUCUUUUUAGAGAGAGAGAAUAACAAAACUCGGGACAGUGAGUGAUAAUAUUUGUUAGCAAUUUUAAUGAUUGAUGAUGAAUGCUGUGGUAGAUGUGUGCAAGUGAAUAUCUUAAUUUAACCACAUGAAAAGCUCCUAAGGGUCAACACAGCUCGAUCAAACUCAAUGUAAAUAUAGUAAAAGAUGUUAUAGCAAGUAUGGCUGUGGUAGGUAGUUUGUUAUGCUAGGAACUCAUCAUGUGAUUUGUAAGUUUUCAAAAUAAAUCUCCAGAAUUUAGUGUAGUAUGAACAAGAUAAACAGUAGCUCAACUAUAUAUCAUGCCUUUCUCUUACCUAGACUUUAGUUUUAUGCUUCCCAUAGAUAGUAAUUUUAGUUUUAGUAAUUCCUGUAAGAAUUCUAAUAUAAAAGCUAGGUACUUGUAAGUAAGCGAACAGAGCAACUGUUCAUCAUUUCCAUCAUGCAUAUUUUUGGUCUUUUUAUUUUUUUUAGAGAUUAAACUUAGCAGAUAAAUAAAGCACACUUAUCUACACACUCUUUUUAUUUUGUUUUCAUGUUUAUAAAGUGCAGUAAAUGAAAGCAAGAAAAUAUUUAUUUAGUUUUCUAAGUUUUUCCUUUUAAGAUAAAUUAAAUACUAAGACAGAAUAGAAUAAAUAAGAAGAGUAAAUAAAAACUUACUUGAUAAAUUUGGGAGGAACUCCCCCAAGCUGGAUGUUGACGUCGGUCCUACCCGAUGUUCCAAAACCGCAUCAUAGUUGUGAUGUUGUCAUUCAUUGUUGUUGUAUCUUGUCUCAGCUCUUCUACUGCAGUGGCAUGGUCUUGGUUCCAUUUUUGUUGUUCUUCCAGGAGUCUUCCAUGUUCUGCUUGCAUGUUCUGGAUGUCGAAGGGGGUGUUGUCGGUACGAGUGAAGAAAGCACCGGCCUCUUGAUAGUAAUCAUUCGUGAAGGCGUAGGAGGCGUCGGAGUAUCGUCCUGCAUCAAAUUGGGGCGGAGGUCUGGAUCCUGAAGCUCCAUAUGGAUCAGUGGAAUACCUGCCCGUAUGAAAAGGCGGGUUUGUCCACUGGUGAUCUUGGCUCUCCGGCCAUGUCUCCUCUGUUGGCUCUUGUGGUUGCGCAUGACGAGCCCAUGGGUCUCGAUGGACUCGUGGAUUGUAAUCGCAAUAAUGCAGGUGCGCUGCUUCUUCUGGUCCAGGGUCAGCUCCAUACCAAGUGCGUUCUCGGUGAGUGGUUAUCCUUUCAGAUGCCACUCGCUGUGGAGUUCUCUGGUUCACUGGUGUUGCUGCAAUCUCAAUCAAAAAGUUUUGCACAGCGUAGAGGCCAAGGUUCGGGUUAGGUAACCGAAUCUUGCCUUUAUCAUCAUACAGCAUAUACAUUAUAUUUCCCUCUUUCUUUAACAUCCGAUCUUGUCUAAAUGUGUCAUAGCCAUGAUAAAUUCUUAAUUCUUCUAUGAAGUCCAACGAUGAGUUUUCUAGUAAGUGAAGAUUAGUGGCUAGACGAGUGAUAAGUGAAGUACAUCCUACUGGUCCCUGCAGACUAGGUAUACUAAGCCAAUG
This 12482-nucleotide long non-coding RNA is filed under the name Sorghum bicolor (sorghum). RNAcentral describes it as "long non-coding RNA (SBIC_LNC007075)". Lineage: Eukaryota; Viridiplantae; Streptophyta; Magnoliopsida; Poales; Poaceae. The record is from RNAcentral.